UAGGGAAUCUUCCACAAUGGACGCAAGUCUGAUGGAGCAACGCCGCGUGAGUGAAGAAAGGCUUUCGGGUCGUAAAAGCUCUGUUAUUGAAGAAGAACGUGUGUGACAGUAACUGGUCAUGCAGUGACGGUAUUCAAUCAGAAAGUCACGGCUAACUACGUGCCAGCAGCCGCGGUAAUACGUAGGUGGCAAGCGUUGUCCGGAUUUAUUGGGCGUAAAGCGAGUGCAGGCGGUCUUUUAAGUCUGAUGUGAAAGCCUUCGGCUUAACCGAAG
Molecule: ribosomal RNA, 273 nt
Filed under: uncultured bacterium
Lineage: Bacteria
Description: partial 16S ribosomal RNA
Rfam family: Bacterial small subunit ribosomal RNA
Source: RNAcentral